UGGGGAAUAUUGGACAAUGGGCGCAAGCCUGAUCCAGCCAUGCCGCGUGAACGAUGAAGGCCUUAGGGUUGUAAAGUUCUUUUGUCAGGGAAGAUAAUGACGGUACCUGAAGAAUAAGCACCGGCUAACUUCGUGCCAGCAGCCGCGGUAAUACGAAGGGUGCUAGCGUUGUUCGGAAUCACUGGGCGUAAAGCGCGCGUAGGCGGCUUAACAAGUCAGAGGUGAAAGCCUGGAGCUCAACUCCAGAACUGCCUUUGAAACUGUUAAGCUUGAGUAUCGGAGGGGAUAGCGGAAUUUCUAAUGUAGAGGUGAAAUUCGUAGAUAUUAGAAGGAACACCGGUGGCGAAGGCGGCUAUCUGGACGACAACUGACGCUGAGGCGCGAAAGCGUGGGGAUCAAACAGGAUUAGAUACCCCCGUAGUCCCUGAGCGGGCUGGCAAGGCGCAU
Molecule: ribosomal RNA, 447 nt
Filed under: uncultured bacterium
Lineage: Bacteria
Description: bacterial SSU rRNA
Rfam family: Bacterial small subunit ribosomal RNA
Source: RNAcentral